Molecule: ribosomal RNA, 501 nt
Filed under: uncultured bacterium
Lineage: Bacteria
Description: bacterial SSU rRNA
Rfam family: Bacterial small subunit ribosomal RNA
Source: RNAcentral
CGAGUUUGAUCAUGGCUCAGGACGAACGCUGGCGGCGUGCCUAACACAUGCAAGUCGAGCGAGGAAGCCCCUUCGGGGGUGGAAUAGCGGCGGACGGGUGAGUAACACGUGGGUAACCUGCCUCAAAGAGGGGGAUAGCCUCCCGAAAGGGAGAUUAAUACCGCAUAGAAGGUAAAAAUCGCAUGAUAAAUGCCUUAAAGGAGCAAUCCGCUUUGAGAUGGGCCCGCGUCGCAUUAGCUAGUUGGAGGGAUAAAAGCCCCCCAAGGCGACGAUGCGUAGCCGACCUGAGAGGGUGAACGGCCACAUUGGAACUGAGAUACGGUCCAGACUCCUACGGGAGGCAGCAGUGGGGAAUAUUGCACAAUGGGGGAAACCCUGAUGCAGCAACGCCGCGUGAGUGAAGAAGGUUUUCGGAUCGUAAAGCUCUGUCAUCCGGGACGAUAAUGACGGUACCGGAAGAGGAAGCCACGGCUAACUACGUGCCAGCAGCCGCGGUAAUAC